RNAcentral lists this unclassified non-coding RNA (345 nucleotides) under soil metagenome. RNAcentral's name for it is "partial contains 5.8S ribosomal RNA, internal transcribed spacer 2, and large subunit ribosomal RNA". The stretch from base 1 to 120 matches the Rfam family "5.8S ribosomal RNA", at positions 35 to 154 of the family's 154-position model. The record is from RNAcentral.
GAUGAAGAACGCAGCGAAAUGCGAUAAGUAAUGUGAAUUGCAGAAUUCAGUGAAUCAUCGAAUCUUUGAACGCACAUUGCGCCCGGUAGUAUUCUGCCGGGCAUGCCUGUCCGAGCGUCAUUGCUGCCCUCAAGCACGGCUUGUGUGUUGGGCCUCCGUCCUCCUCCCGGGGGACGGGCCCGAAAGGCAGCGGCGGCACCGCGUCCGGUCCUCGAGCGUAUGGGGCUUCGUCACCCGCUCUUGUAGGCCCGGCCGGCGCUUGCCGACACAUCAAUCUUUUUUCCAGGUUGACCUCGGAUCAGGUAGGGAUACCCGCUGAACUUAAGCAUAUCAAUAAGCGGAGGA